GACAGAGGGUGCAAACGUUGUUCGGAAUUACUGGGCGUAAAGCGCGUGUAGGCGGCUCGGCAAGUCGGGUGUGAAAGCCCUGGGCUUAACCUAGGAAGUGCACUCGAAACUGCCAAGCUUGAGUUCUGGAGAGGAAGGCGGAAUUCUCGGUGUAGAGGUGAAAUUCGUAGAUAUCGAGAGGAACACCGGUGGCGAAGGCGGCCUUCUGGACAGCAACUGACGCUGAGACGCGAAGCGUGGAGCAACAG
This 248-nucleotide ribosomal RNA is filed under the name uncultured bacterium. Its description in RNAcentral is "partial 16S ribosomal RNA". It matches the Rfam family "Bacterial small subunit ribosomal RNA", at positions 524 to 775 of the family's 1533-position model. The record is from RNAcentral.